This 491-nucleotide ribosomal RNA is filed under the name uncultured bacterium. RNAcentral's name for it is "bacterial SSU rRNA". It matches the Rfam family "Bacterial small subunit ribosomal RNA", at positions 43 to 507 of the family's 1533-position model. The record is from RNAcentral.
CGUGCUUAACACAUGCAAGGUCGAACGGAGUGCCUAUGAUAGAGACUUCGGUCAAUGGAUUAGGUUACUUAGUGGCGGACUGGUGAGUAACGCGUGAGGAACCUGCCUUUCAGAGGGGGACAACAGUUGGAAACGACUGCUAAUACCGCAUGACACAUCGAUGGGGCAUCCCAUUGAUGUCAAAGAUUUAUCGCUUUGCGAUGGGUCUGCGUCUGAUUAGCUAGUUGGUGGGGCAACGGCCUACCAAGGCGACGAUCAGUAGCCGGUCUGAGAGGAUGAACGGCCACAUUGGAACUGAGACACGGUCCAGACUCCUACGGGAGGCAGCAGUGGGGAAUCUUCCGCAAUGGGCGAAAGCCUGACGGAGCAACGCCGCGUGAGUGAAGAAGGUCUUCGGAUCGUAAAGCUCUGUUGUCGGGGACGAAUGUUGAGACCUAGAACAUAGGUUUCAAAUGACGGUACCUGACGAGGAAGCCACGGCUAACUACGUG